RNAcentral lists this ribosomal RNA (501 nucleotides) under uncultured bacterium. RNAcentral describes it as "partial 16S ribosomal RNA". It matches the Rfam family "Bacterial small subunit ribosomal RNA", at positions 30 to 523 of the family's 1533-position model. The record is from RNAcentral.
AUUGAACGCUGGCGGCAGGCUUAACACAUGCAAGUCGAGCGGGGGAAGGUAGCUUGCUACCGGACCUAGCGGCGGACGGGUGAGUAAUGCUAAGGAGUCUGCCUAUUAGUGGGGGACAACAUCUCGAAAGGGAUGCUAAUACCGCAUACGUCCUACGGGAGAAAGCAGGGGAUCUUUGGACCUUGCGCUAAUAGAUGAGCCUAAGUCGGAUUAGCUAGUUGGUGGGGUAAAGGCCUACCAAGGCGACGAUCUGUAGCGGGUCUGAGAGGAUGAUCCGCCACACUGGGACUGAGACACGGCCCAGACUCCUACGGGAGGCAGCAGUGGGGAAUAUUGGACAAUGGGGGGAACCCUGAUCCAGCCAUGCCGCGUGUGUGAAGAAGGCCUUAUGGUUGUAAAGCACUUUAAGCGAGGAGGAGGCUACUUUAGUUAAUACCUAGAGAUAGUGGACGUUACUCGCAGAAUAAGCACCGGCUAACUCUGUGCCAGCCGCCGCGGUAA